GAUUCCGUAGUGUAGCGGUUAUCACAUUCGCCUCACACGCGAAAGGUCCCCGGUUCGAACCCGCAGGGCGGAAUCA
Molecule: non-coding RNA, 76 nt
Organism: Patiria miniata (bat star)
Lineage: Eukaryota; Metazoa; Echinodermata; Asteroidea; Valvatida; Asterinidae
Source: the annotation of a RefSeq genome assembly